RNAcentral lists this long non-coding RNA (479 nucleotides) under Equus caballus (horse). Its description in RNAcentral is "lncRNA (ENSECAG00000044889.1)". The record is from RNAcentral. Lineage: Eukaryota; Metazoa; Chordata; Mammalia; Perissodactyla; Equidae.
CAGCACGUAACCAUCAGAUGGCAGCUUUCGUUACUCCUGGAAAGUGAUUGCUGCCGAUAUGCUUGCUCAGAGUUACAUCAAGUAUCCUGUGUCUGUAAAAAGGAAGAGGAAUUUUUUUCUCUGUUAUGGGUCUGCUAAGAAUCAGCGCCUGAGGCAAAGACUAAAAUGCUAAGGCUGCGUUUGGGAGAUGCAAGUCUGGGUGAAGGACACAUCUGCCAAGGCUCUGGAUGCCAAGCCCUCCAGACCCCUGAGAAGAAGCAGGGCUCCCUGGAUCGACUUUCAGACAGUGUGCGGUGCUUCAGGCUCCGUGAUCGGGAACUACGAGGUGUGGGACCCCGUCACCAAUAAAUACGUCUGUAACUUUGGACAUCACUCUACCUCUCAGAGACUCCAUUUCCAAACUGGUAAAAUGGAAACAAUAAAGCCAGGUUUCCCACCUCUGUCAGUGCAAAGAUCAACUGAAUCAUGUUAGAUCCCUG